GACGAACGCUGGCGGCGUGCUUAACACAUGCAAGUCGAACGGAAGGCCCCGCCUUUGUGGGGUGCCCGAGUGGCGAACGGGUGAGUAACACGUGAGUAACCUGCCCUUGACUUUGUGAUAACUUCAGGAAACUGGGGCUAAUACCGGAUAGGAGCCCCUGCUGCAUGGUGGGGGUUGGAAAGUUUCGGCGGUUGGGGAUGGACUCGCGGCUUAUCAGCUUGUUGGUGGGGUAGUGGCUUACCAAGGCUUUGACGGGUAGCCGGCCUGAGAGGGUGACCGGCCACAUUGGGACUGAGAUACGGCCCAGACUCCUACGGGAGGCAGCAGUGGGGAAUAUUGCACAAUGGGCGGAAGCCUGAUGCAGCAACGCCGCGUGCGGGAUGACGGCCUUCGGGUUGUAAACCGCUUUCGCCUGUGACGAAGCGUGAGUGACGGUAAUGGGUAAAGAAGCACCGGCUAACUACGUG
This 467-nucleotide ribosomal RNA is filed under the name uncultured bacterium. RNAcentral's name for it is "partial 16S ribosomal RNA". It matches the Rfam family "Bacterial small subunit ribosomal RNA", at positions 28 to 507 of the family's 1533-position model. The record is from RNAcentral.